UACGGAGGGUGCGAGCGUUGUCCGGAAUCAUUGGGCGUAAAGGGCGCGUAGGUGGCGACCCAAGUCGAUGGUGAAAGCUCGCCGCUCAACGGCGAGUCGGCCACCGAUACUGGGUUGCUCGAGCACUGUAGAGGCUAAUGGAAUUCCGGGUGUAGCGGUGGAAUGCGUAGAGAUCCGGAAGAACACCGGUGGCGAAGGCGGUUAGCUGGGCAGUUGCUGACACUGAGGCGCGACAGCGUGGGGAGCAACAGG
This 252-nucleotide ribosomal RNA is filed under the name uncultured bacterium. RNAcentral describes it as "partial 16S ribosomal RNA". It matches the Rfam family "Bacterial small subunit ribosomal RNA", at positions 524 to 775 of the family's 1533-position model. The record is from RNAcentral.